GGGUGUAACUCUGGGGGGGUUAGGGGUUGGGGUCAGGUGUUUGGUGUAACUCUGGGGUUAGUGUUUGGUCUAACCCUGGGGUUAGGGGUUAGGGGUUAGGGUCAGGU
Long non-coding RNA from Haliotis rubra (blacklip abalone), 107 nucleotides. RefSeq lists it as uncharacterized. Lineage: Eukaryota; Metazoa; Mollusca; Gastropoda; Lepetellida; Haliotidae. The transcript has 4 exons. The record is from RefSeq and is a predicted model, not a curated record.